RNAcentral lists this ribosomal RNA (118 nucleotides) under uncultured bacterium. RNAcentral's name for it is "partial 16S ribosomal RNA". It matches the Rfam family "Bacterial small subunit ribosomal RNA", at positions 1384 to 1501 of the family's 1533-position model. The record is from RNAcentral.
UACAUACCGCCCGUCACACCAUGGGAGUGGGUUGCACCAGAAGUAGCUAGUCUAACCUUCGGGAGGACGGUUACCACGGUGUGAUUCAUGACUGGGGUGAAGUCGUAACAAGGUACCC